UUACGGCCAUAUUAUGUUGAAACACCGCUUCCUGUAUGACCACCGAAGUUAAGCAACGUCGAGUCUGGCCAAUACUUAGAUGGGUGACCGCUUGGGAAUACCAG
This 104-nucleotide ribosomal RNA is filed under the name Acanthosepion pharaonis. Lineage: Eukaryota; Metazoa; Mollusca; Cephalopoda; Sepiida; Sepiidae. The record is from RNAcentral.